UACGUAGGUGGCAAGCGUUGUCCGGAUUUAUUGGGUUAAAGGGUGCGUAGGCGGCUUUGUAAGUCAGUGGUGAAAUAUGGCAGCUCAACUGUCAAGGUGCCAUUGAUACUGCGGAGCUUGAGUACAGAUGAGGUAGGCGGAAUUGACGGUGUAGCGGUGAAAUGCUUAGAUAUCGUCAAGAACACCUAUAGCGAAGGCAGCUUACUAGGCUGUAACUGACGCUGAGGCACGAAAGUGUGGGGAUCAAACAGG
Molecule: ribosomal RNA, 252 nt
Filed under: uncultured bacterium
Lineage: Bacteria
Description: partial 16S ribosomal RNA
Rfam family: Bacterial small subunit ribosomal RNA
Source: RNAcentral